AACACUGUUAACCUGCGGUACCUGCGGAAGGAUCAUUACCGAGUUUACAACUCCCAAACCCCUGUGAACAUACCAAUUGUUGCCUCGGCGGAUCAGCCCGCUCCCGGUAAAACGGGACGGCCCGCCAGAGGACCCCUAAACUCUGUUUCUAUAUGUAACUUCCGAGUAAAACCAUAAAUAAAUCAAAACUUUUAACAAUGGAUCU
RNAcentral lists this unclassified non-coding RNA (205 nucleotides) under soil metagenome. Its description in RNAcentral is "partial contains 5.8S ribosomal RNA, internal transcribed spacer 2, and large subunit ribosomal RNA". The record is from RNAcentral.